RNAcentral lists this long non-coding RNA (303 nucleotides) under Homarus americanus (American lobster). RNAcentral's name for it is "uncharacterized LOC121871104, transcript variant X4". The record is from RNAcentral. Lineage: Eukaryota; Metazoa; Arthropoda; Malacostraca; Decapoda; Nephropidae.
CACAAUGUGGGUCAGUGCUGUGUCGAACCGUCUGUCCUCAAACGCAGGAAGAUGAGUUAACCCUGGGAAAUUGAACAGCACCAUCACAACUGAAAAUGAUACUGCAGGCUGAGACAAAUAGCUGCCAUUCUAGAACUUAAUUCCAAUGAACACUAUAACACCACUACCACAGCACCACCACCACAUAUGGACAACUCCAUUAUCGGGUUCCUUCGACUUGAGGCAGCGAACACUCCUCGGGGUCAGAGAACAGGUCGAAGGGGGAGUCACGGACGAGUUCGGACUCUCCAAGUCCCCUUUGAU